AGCGAACGUUAGCGGCGCGCCUAACACAUGCAAGUCGCACGAGAAAGGGGCAACCCCGGUACAGUGGCGCACGGGUGAGUAACACGUGGAUUACCUGCCCUGGAGUGGUGGAUAACCUGCCGAAAGGUGGGCUAAUACAGCAUGAGACCACGCAGUUUCGACUGUGAGGUCAAAGCGGGCUGAUGUUUACAAGCUCGCGCUCUAGGAUGGGUCCGCGGCCCAUCAGCUAGUUGGUAGGGUAACGGCCUACCAAGGCAACGACGGGUAGCUGGUCUGAGAGGAUGAUCAGCCACACUGGAACUGAGACACGGUCCAGACUCCUACGGGAGGCAGCAGUGGGGAAUCUUGCGCAAUGGACGAAAGUCUGACGCAGCGACGCCGCGUGGGUGACGAAGGCC
RNAcentral lists this ribosomal RNA (398 nucleotides) under uncultured bacterium. RNAcentral's name for it is "bacterial SSU rRNA". It matches the Rfam family "Bacterial small subunit ribosomal RNA", at positions 29 to 416 of the family's 1533-position model. The record is from RNAcentral.